This is a non-coding RNA of Brassica rapa (field mustard), 75 nucleotides long. The record is from Rfam. Lineage: Eukaryota; Viridiplantae; Streptophyta; Magnoliopsida; Brassicales; Brassicaceae.
AGUUUGCAUGUGAUGGUGUUAAAUACACGUUGAGAGAUUAAUCUAUAGGAAAAAAUUCAACUCUUGAGGCAUUUU